GAUGAAGAACGUAGCGAAAUGCGAUACUUGGUAUGAAUUGCAGAAUCCCGCGAAUCAUCGAGUUUUUGAACGCAAGUUGCGCCCGAAGCCAUUCGGCCGAGGGCACGUCUGCCUGGGUGUCACGCAUCGUUGCCCCCCCAAACUCCGGUUCGGGCGGGGCGGAAGUUGGCCUCCCGUGCGUGCCUGCGCGCGCGGUUAGCCCAAAAGCGAGUCCUCGGCGAUGAGCGCCACGACAAUCGGUGGUUUUUUUACCCUCGUUCCUCGUCGUGCGUGCCCCGUCGCCCGAACGCGCUCUUGCAACCCUUACGCGUCGCCUCGGUGGCGCUCCCAACGCGACCCCAGGUCAGGCGGGACUACCCGCUGAGUUUAAGCAUAUCAAUAAGCGGAGGA
This 390-nucleotide unclassified non-coding RNA is filed under the name soil metagenome. RNAcentral's name for it is "partial contains 5.8S ribosomal RNA, internal transcribed spacer 2, and large subunit ribosomal RNA". The stretch from base 1 to 122 matches the Rfam family "5.8S ribosomal RNA", at positions 35 to 154 of the family's 154-position model. The record is from RNAcentral.